UACGUAGGUGGCAAGCGUUGUCCGGAUUUAUUGGGUUUAAAGGGUGCGUAGGCGGCUUUUUAAGUCAGUGGUGAAAGCCGAUCGCUUAACGAUCGAACUGCCAUUGAUACUGAGAGGCUUGAGUAUAGUUGAGGUAGGCGGAAUUGACAGUGUAGCGGUUAAAUGCAUAGAUAUUGUCAAGAGCACCAAUUGCGAAGGCAGCUUACUAAAGUAUAACUGACGCUGAGGCACGAAAGUGCGGGUAUCAACCAGG
RNAcentral lists this ribosomal RNA (253 nucleotides) under uncultured bacterium. RNAcentral's name for it is "partial 16S ribosomal RNA". It matches the Rfam family "Bacterial small subunit ribosomal RNA", at positions 524 to 776 of the family's 1533-position model. The record is from RNAcentral.